This is a non-coding RNA of Cinara cedri, 211 nucleotides long. The record is from the annotation of a GenBank genome assembly. NCBI's taxonomy places the organism in Eukaryota, Metazoa, Arthropoda, Insecta, Hemiptera, Aphididae.
AAAAUUAUUAGUGUUCCAGUAAAAAUCACGCGAUGUAUUGUAGGUCGGUGGUAAAAAAUAUUUACUAUUUAGCGCAAUGUUUUUAUGGCCACCAAUAACAUUGAUUCAACAAAAUGCAUAUAUUUACAGAAUGUCCAACGGAGGUAUGACAAUCAUUUUUUCUAUUCAGCAUUUAUAAGUUUUUAUUUUUUGGAACAAUUACUAAAGCCUU